CAGCAGCCGCCGCGGUAAUACGGAGGGGGCUAGCGUUGUUCGGAAUUACUGGGCGUAAAGCGCACGUAGGCGGCUUGGUAAGUUAGAGGUGAAAGCCCGGAGCUCAACUCCGGAAUUGCCUUUAAGACUGCCGAGCUAGUAGGUGAGAGAGGUAAGUGGAAUUCCGAGUGUAGAGGUGAAAUUCGUAGAUAUUCGGAAGAACACCAGUGGCGAAGGCGGCUUACUGGCUCAUUCUAGACGCUGAGGUGCGAAAGCGUGGGGAGCAAACAGGAUUAGAUACCCCAGUAGUCCCUGUCUCUUAUAC
RNAcentral lists this ribosomal RNA (304 nucleotides) under uncultured bacterium. RNAcentral's name for it is "partial 16S ribosomal RNA". It matches the Rfam family "Bacterial small subunit ribosomal RNA", at positions 506 to 807 of the family's 1533-position model. The record is from RNAcentral.